UUUGGCGGUCAUAGUCUUAGGGUAAUACCUGGUCUCGUUUCGAUCCCAGAAGUGAAGUCUUUUGACGUUUUGAUUGGUACUAUGGUUUUCUAUGGGAAUUUCAUUUUGCUGCCAAAC
Ribosomal RNA from Methanobrevibacter curvatus, 117 nucleotides. The record is from Rfam. NCBI's taxonomy places the organism in Archaea, Methanobacteriati, Methanobacteriota, Methanobacteria, Methanobacteriales, Methanobacteriaceae.